AGAUGAUUUAGUACUAUAGGUACUCUCACUAGAAGUGGCCGUUAGAUAUUCAUCUGUUCACAGUUAGACAAACUGUCUAUAAAUGGAGAUGAUUUAGUACUAUAGGUACUCUCACUAGAAGUGGCCGUUAGAUAUUCAUCUGUUCACAGUUAGACAAACUGUCUAUAAAUGGAGAUGAUUUAGUACUAUAGGUACUCUCACUAGAAGUGGCCGUUAGAUAUUCAUCUGUUCACAGUUAGACAAACUGUCUAUAAAUGGAGAUGAUUUAGUACUAUAGGUACUCUCACUAGAAGUGGCCGUUAGAUAUUCAUCUGUCCACAGUUAGACAAACUGUCUAUAAAUGGAGAUGAUUUAGUACUAUAGGUACUCUCACUAGAAGUGGCCGUUAGAUAUUCAUCUGUUCACAGUUAGACAAACUGUCUAUAAAUGGAGAUGAUUUAGUACUAUAGGUACUCUCACUAGAAGUGGCCGUUAGAUAUUCAUCUGUCCACAGUUAGACAAACUGUCUAUAAAUGGAGAUGAUUUAGUACUAUAGGUACUCUCACUAGAAGUGGCCGUUAGAUAUUCAUCUGUCCACAGUUAGACAAACUGUCUAUAAAUGGAGAUGAUUUAGUACUAUAGGUACUCUCACUAGAAGUGGCCGUUAGAUAUUCAUCUGUCCACAGUUAGACAAACUGUCUAUAAAUGGAGAUGAUUUAGUACUAUAGGUACUCUCACUAGAAGUGGCCGUUAGAUAUUCAUCUGUUCACAGUUAGACAAACUGUCUAUAAAUGGAGAUGAUUUAGUACUAUAGGUACUCUCACUAG
Long non-coding RNA from Xyrauchen texanus (razorback sucker), 806 nucleotides. RefSeq lists it as uncharacterized. Lineage: Eukaryota; Metazoa; Chordata; Actinopteri; Cypriniformes; Catostomidae. The record is from RefSeq and is a predicted model, not a curated record. The transcript is spliced from 5 exons.